UGGAGCGCAGGAGGAUGAGGGGUGGUCUUAUAGAGGUGUACAGGAUCAUGAGAGGAAUAGAUCAGAUAAAGGCACAGAGUCUUUUGCCCAGAGUAGGGUAAUAGAGAACCACAAGACAUAGGUUACCUGAGGGGUGGAAGAUUUAAUAAUAA
Amblyraja radiata (thorny skate) is the source of this 152-nucleotide long non-coding RNA. RefSeq lists it as uncharacterized. The record is from RefSeq and is a predicted model, not a curated record. NCBI's taxonomy places the organism in Eukaryota, Metazoa, Chordata, Chondrichthyes, Rajiformes, Rajidae. The transcript is spliced from 3 exons.